Long non-coding RNA from Clupea harengus (Atlantic herring), 507 nucleotides. Lineage: Eukaryota; Metazoa; Chordata; Actinopteri; Clupeiformes; Clupeidae. The record is from Ensembl.
UGGUGAGUCAAUACAAUAUGUGCCAUGGUAAUGUAUUGAACAGCUUGUCAGUGUCAUAUCCUUCAUAUUUUAGCAAACAAGAAAAGGGCUGACAUGGCGAAGACGGGGGGGGGGACCCAGAGGUCCAGAGUUAACCCCUGCUGAGGAGCUGGCCCUGGCCAAUAACAGGGGUAGGCCCAUUAUGCAGGGCAUAGCUGGGGGCAGCUCCUCUGGAGAGGUGGUGGCAGGAGAGAAUCCCUAUGUCCAAGUAGUAGAAGGUUCACUCACACUCCUGCAGCCACCUACCAAUGUGUUGGGAGAGGAGCCCACUGCUGAUGAGGUCGGUCUAGACGAUGAGGACACACUUUCCGCCUUCUCAAGCGAUUUGGCAAAUCCUGCUGGACCACGGCCUGAUCCGCCGGAGCCUGGCCCCUCUCGCUCUUCGGGAACUGGGGAUGGGGACACUGACAAUGAAGAUGUGCGUACGCUUUAUAAGCACUACUGAGCUCAGCGAAGCUUGAUGUGGAG